CAGUCGCCACGGUAAUACGAAGGGGGCUAGCGUUGCUCGGAAUGACUGGGCGUAAAGGGCGCGUAGGCGGUUUGUACAGUUGGAUGUGAAAUUCCUGGGCUUAACCUGGGGGCUGCAUUCAAUACGUGCAGGCUUGAGUGUGGAAGAGGGUUGUGGAAUUCCCAGUGUAGAGGUGAAAUUCGUAGAUAUUGGGAAGAACACCGGUGGCGAAGGCGGCAACCUGGUCCAUUACUGACGCUGAGGCGCGAAAGCGUGGGGAGCAAACAGGAUUAGAUACCCGCGUAGUCCCUGUCUCUUAUAC
This 301-nucleotide ribosomal RNA is filed under the name uncultured bacterium. Its description in RNAcentral is "partial 16S ribosomal RNA". It matches the Rfam family "Bacterial small subunit ribosomal RNA", at positions 509 to 807 of the family's 1533-position model. The record is from RNAcentral.